RNAcentral lists this long non-coding RNA (804 nucleotides) under Homo sapiens (human). RNAcentral's name for it is "long non-coding RNA NONHSAT161659". The record is from RNAcentral. Lineage: Eukaryota; Metazoa; Chordata; Mammalia; Primates; Hominidae.
AGGAAAUGAUGGGAGGAACCUUUGGUGAAGAAGGCAAAAUACUACUGAACCUUGAGGUUUUGUGUUCAGCCCCAGGACAGACAUUGAAGAUGGAAGGCUCGGGCUGAUGUCAACAGGUUUCCCAGGGGUCUCCAUCCCCUCCAGCAUUCAUGCAAAGCCAAUUCCAGCUACAGACUGCAGCUUGGGGUUGUCUUCUGCAGCUGUCUACAACAGGGACUUGUCAGGGGUAAAAUGAAAAAUUUUAUCAUGAUUUCUAAUUUUUCUCGAUGUCUCAGUCAUUGAAAGUUUCACAUUCAGGGCCAUUUGGGUGUCAUGAAAACAUCAGGUUUAAAGAGGAAAGAUGAUGGAUCGUGAAUGUUUAUGAGGAGAUGGUAGCAAUUAUAAUGAUGGUAAUGAAGAGUGAAGCGAGAAGAUCAGCCUGUGGGGAUGCUGCUCCUGAGUCUAGGCUGCUGGAGGAAAGUGCUCCAGUGGGCUUGGGCAUUACCAUUGUACCAAGAUGGAUGAAGCUUCUUUUCCAACAGCCCCUCCAGAUUCAUUAUUUUUUUAGAAAUAUGCCUUGUGGAACCAGGUUUGCAAGUUUUACAUUGAGUGAACAGCUAUUUCUUAUGUUAAGUUAUUUUAGCUGAAGAAUAGAGAAUUGUUGAAAUAAAUGGCUAGAGAAUUCGAAUUGUAUUCAUUCUUGACAUUGGAACUGACAAAUAGCUUCAUUCCCCACUGAAAUGGAAAGCUUAUUACUCUGAGAUACAGGCGGGUUUGAGGGAGGGGGGCAUCUGAGUUUUAUUUUACUGUAACUCUUGUAGAUGC